RNAcentral lists this non-coding RNA (24 nucleotides) under Arabidopsis thaliana (thale cress). The record is from RNAcentral. Lineage: Eukaryota; Viridiplantae; Streptophyta; Magnoliopsida; Brassicales; Brassicaceae.
UUUGGUCUCUUGUGUUUCAGGUAC